This is a non-coding RNA of Trichonephila clavipes, 79 nucleotides long. The record is from the annotation of a GenBank genome assembly. NCBI's taxonomy places the organism in Eukaryota, Metazoa, Arthropoda, Arachnida, Araneae, Nephilidae.
ACGGCCAUACCAUGCGGAAAACACCGGUUCUCGUCCGAUCACCGAAGUUAAGCAUAAUCGGGCGUGAUCAGUAGUUGGG